This 496-nucleotide ribosomal RNA is filed under the name uncultured bacterium. Its description in RNAcentral is "partial 16S ribosomal RNA". It matches the Rfam family "Bacterial small subunit ribosomal RNA", at positions 29 to 507 of the family's 1533-position model. The record is from RNAcentral.
AUGAACGCUGGCGGCGUGCCUAAUACAUGCCAGUCGAGCGAACAGACGAGGAGCUUGCUCCUCUGACGUUAGCGGCGGACGGGUGAGUAACACGUGGAUAACCUACCUAUAAGACUGGGAUAACUUCGGGAAACCGGAGCUAAUACCGGAUAAUAUAUUGAACCGCAUGGUUCUAUAGUGAAAGACGGUUUUGCUGUCACUUAUAGAUGGAUCCGCGCCGCAUUAGCUAGUUGGUAAGGUAACGGCUUACCAAGGCAACGAUGCGUAGCCGACCUGAGAGGGUGAUCGGCCACACUGGAACUGAGACACGGUCCAGACUCCUACGGGAGGCAGCAGUAGGGAAUCUUCCGCAAUGGGCGAAAGCCUGACGGAGCAACGCCGCGUGAGUGAUGAAGGUCUUCGGAUCGUAAAACUCUGUUAUUAGGGAAGAACAAAUGUGUAAGUAACUAUGCACGUCUUGACGGUACCUAAUCAGAAAGCCACGGCUAACUACGUG